UACGGAGGCUCCAAGCGUUAUCCGGAUUUAUUGGGUUUAAAGGGUGCGUAGGCGGUUCCAUAAGUCAGUGGUGAAAUCUCAUAGCUUAACUAUUGAGGUGCCAUUGAUACUGCGGAACUUGAGUACAGACGAGGUAGGCGGAAUUGACGGUGUAGCGGUGAAAUGCUUAGAUAUCGUCAAGAACACCGAUAGCGAAGGCAGCUUACUAGACUGUAACUGACGCUGAUGCACGAAAGUGUGGGGAUCAAACAGG
This 253-nucleotide ribosomal RNA is filed under the name uncultured bacterium. Its description in RNAcentral is "partial 16S ribosomal RNA". It matches the Rfam family "Bacterial small subunit ribosomal RNA", at positions 524 to 776 of the family's 1533-position model. The record is from RNAcentral.